GUAGUAUUUUGUAUUAAAAAAAAAAUAUAUAUUUUAAUUUAGGAGUAGGACCACUAUACUCUUAUAAGUAUAGAUUUUUUUAUACUCAUAAAUUUUCAGCCGUUUAAUGAAAGAAUGCGUGGUUAGAAUGAUAGUAGUUUUUCGUUACAAUCAUACUGAUUCUAGAUUGAUUAGAUGGUUGGUUGAGUAAUAUAAUUUAACGGAUAAAAAUGAUCAAAAGAAUAAAUUUAACGAUAGAAAAUUUAUAAAUAUAAAAAAAAAUCUAUAUUCAUAUAUGAGUACAAUAAUUGGACUCUUAAUUUAGACUACAAUUUAAAUUUUAGAAGUAAUU
This 331-nucleotide long non-coding RNA is filed under the name Ananas comosus (pineapple). RNAcentral describes it as "long non-coding RNA (ACOM_LNC011053)". Lineage: Eukaryota; Viridiplantae; Streptophyta; Magnoliopsida; Poales; Bromeliaceae. The record is from RNAcentral.